This 524-nucleotide ribosomal RNA is filed under the name uncultured Planctomycetaceae bacterium. RNAcentral describes it as "bacterial SSU rRNA". It matches the Rfam family "Bacterial small subunit ribosomal RNA", at positions 8 to 523 of the family's 1533-position model. The record is from RNAcentral. Lineage: Bacteria; Pseudomonadati; Planctomycetota; Planctomycetia; Planctomycetales; Planctomycetaceae.
AGAGUUUGAUCAUGGCUCAGAAUGAACGUUGGCGGCGUGGAUUAGGCAUGCAAGUCGAGCGAGAACCUGUCUUCGGACAGGGGACAGCGGCGAACGGGGUAGGAAUACCUCGGUGACGUACCCCCCGGUCGGGGAUAGCGGCGGGAAACUGCCGGUAAUACCCGAUGAUCUUCCUAGGUUUUAUUUCCAGGGAAGCAAAGGUGUGAUUCCGUCGGGGGAGCGGCUGAGGUCGUAUUAGCUAGUUGGUAAGGUAACGGCUUACCAAGGCGAUGAUGCGUAGGGGGUGUGAGAGCAUGGCCCCCACCACUGGCACUGAGACACUGGCCAGACACCUACGGGUGGCUGCAGUCGAGAAUCUUCGGCAAUGGGCGCAAGCCUGACCGAGCGACGCCGCGUGCGGGAUGAAGGUCUUCGGAUUGUAAAGCUCUUUCAGCCGGGAAGAAAACGCAUGGGUUAAUACCCUGUGUGGAUGACGGUACCGGAAUAAGAAGCACCGGCUAACUACGUGUCAGCCGCCGCGGUAA